AGGUCUGUCGCCAAGCGGUAAGGCAACGGGUUUUGAUCCCGUCAUCCCUAGGUUCGAAUCCUAGCAGACCUGCCA
RNAcentral lists this transfer RNA (75 nucleotides) under Vibrio cholerae. Its description in RNAcentral is "tRNA-Gln". It matches the Rfam family "tRNA". From Rfam's summary of the family: Transfer RNA (tRNA) molecules are approximately 80 nucleotides in length. Their secondary structure includes four short double-helical elements and three loops (D, anti-codon, and T loops). Lineage: Bacteria; Pseudomonadati; Pseudomonadota; Gammaproteobacteria; Vibrionales; Vibrionaceae. The record is from RNAcentral.